RNAcentral lists this ribosomal RNA (254 nucleotides) under uncultured bacterium. Its description in RNAcentral is "partial 16S ribosomal RNA". It matches the Rfam family "Bacterial small subunit ribosomal RNA", at positions 524 to 776 of the family's 1533-position model. The record is from RNAcentral.
UACGUAGGGACCAAGCGUUGUUCGGAUUUACCGGGCGUAAAGGGCGCGUAGGCGGUCAGCACAAGUCAGUUGUGAAAUCUCCGGGCUUAACUCGGAAAGGUCAACUGAUACUGUGCGACUAGAGUGCAGAAGGGGCAACUGGAAUUCUCGGUGUAGCGGUGAAAUGCGUAGAUAUCGAGAGGAACACCUGCGGCGAAGGCGGGUUGCUGGGCUGACACUGACGCUGAUGCGCGAAAGCCAGGGGAGCGAACGGG